RNAcentral lists this ribosomal RNA (460 nucleotides) under uncultured bacterium. Its description in RNAcentral is "partial 16S ribosomal RNA". It matches the Rfam family "Bacterial small subunit ribosomal RNA", at positions 338 to 795 of the family's 1533-position model. The record is from RNAcentral.
CCUACGGGGGGCAGCAGUGGGGAAUAUUGCGCAAUGGGCGAAAGCCUGACGCAGCGACGCCGCGUGAGGGAAGACGGCCCUACGGGUUGUAAACCUCUUUUGCCGGGGAGCAACGGGCGCCACGUGUGGCGCCACUGAGAGUACCCGGAGAAAAAGCAUCGGCUAACUCCGUGCCAGCAGCCGCGGUAAUACGGAGGAUGCGAGCGUUAUCCGGAUUUAUUGGGUUUAAAGGGUGCGUAGGCGGAGCGUUAAGUCAGUGGUCAAAUUGAGGGGCUCAACCCCUUCCCGCCAUUGAAACUGGCGCUCUUGAGUGGAAGAGAAGUAUGCGGAAUGCGUGGUGUAGCGGUGAAAUGCAUAGAUAUCACGCAGAACCCCGAUUGCGAAGGCAGCAUGCCGGCUUCCUACUGACGCUGAAGCACGAAAGCGUGGGGAUCGAACAGGAUUAGAUACCCUUGUAGUC